GCCUGGCUGGCUCAGUCGGUAAAGCAUGAAACUUUUGAUCACAGGGUCAUGAGUUCAAGCCCCAUGUUGGGCA
Non-coding RNA from Panthera uncia (snow leopard), 73 nucleotides. Lineage: Eukaryota; Metazoa; Chordata; Mammalia; Carnivora; Felidae. The record is from the annotation of a RefSeq genome assembly.